RNAcentral lists this ribosomal RNA (498 nucleotides) under uncultured bacterium. RNAcentral's name for it is "partial 16S ribosomal RNA". It matches the Rfam family "Bacterial small subunit ribosomal RNA", at positions 30 to 523 of the family's 1533-position model. The record is from RNAcentral.
AUUGAACGCUGGCGGCAUGCCUUACACAUGCAAGUCGAACGGUAACUGGUCUUCGGAUGCUGACGAGUGGCGAACGGGUGAGUAAUACAUCGGAACGUGCCUAGUAGUGGGGGAUAACUACUCGAAAGAGUGGCUAAUACCGCAUGAGAUCUACGGAUGAAAGCAGGGGAUCGCAAGACCUUGUGCUAGUAGAGCGGCCGAUUGCAGAUUAGGUAGUUGGUGGGAUAAAAGCUUACCAAGCCGACGAUCUGUAGCUGGUCUGAGAGGACGAUCAGCCACACUGGGACUGAGACACGGCCCAGACUCCUACGGGAGGCAGCAGUGGGGAAUUUUGGACAAUGGGCGAAAGCCUGAUCCAGCAAUGCCGCGUGCAGGAUGAAGGCCUUCGGGUUGUAAACUGCUUUUGUACGGAACGAAAAGCCCUGGGUUAAUACCCUGGGGUCAUGACGGUACCGUAAGAAUAAGCACCGGCUAACUCCGUGCCAGCAGCCGCCGUAA